GAUUCUACACUCUCAGGCGCAUGUGCAAACGACCUGUCACAUCCGUACGUGUCAAAAAGCAUCGGCGCCUUUCUUCUCCAUACUUAUUCUCCUUUGAAAACGAAUUAAACGACUGUCAGGUUGUAUCGUGGGAUUUGCGAAAGAGCAGUUUUUGUCGAUGCUCAAUGCGUUCUACUUGAUUUCUGUCUGUAGCCGUCUCGCACGCAUACAACGCAAGUGGAAUUGUGCAAACUUUCAGUGUCCCUACUCAUCGCCUUUCCAUACUACCACUGUAGGUGUAACUCUUCUUCGAGUACCACGAACUCCUGCACUACUACUCCUGGAUCCAGAUUAGCAACGGACGUCAAAUCGUAAGUUUAUCCAUCACGAAGAUUCGUUAGAUGAUUGCGAGUGACGUGAGUAAACUUCAUGGACCUUGAACCUUCCGUGAGUAGGUACAGCAACGUAAAAUUGGAUAAUUCGCAUAGAGAAGGUCAGCUGGAUUGGUCUUCUGUGAAAAAAAGAUAAUAAUAAUAAAUUAUAGCGAUGAAGAUAGAUCUAUACCUGGUGGUCGUGUGAAUAAAGUAUCUACAGUGGAAGGACAUCUUUUCGGCCAAGGUCGAGGUAAAUUAAUCACUACGCUUCGGGGUGAGGACGCGAUAUACAUAUAUGUAUGUAUAGAACGUAGAGAGUCGAGAACUUUCCAUGUCCUCGAAGACCCCAGGAGAGGAUCGGCUUUUAUCUUCUUCAGCUGACAAGCCUGACGACCUUGGCGACGCGAUCGUGACCUAAUCGUUAUUGAAUACAGGGUUACACAGCUUGGAUGGAACAAACAUUGAUGACAACUGUCAUAAGUUCAUUCUGGUUCAUUAUCAGAUGGUCUCGUGUCUUCCAAGUGGAUCAGUAUUUAUAUCUAUGUUUCUACAGACUCGCUUUUCUUCGGUUGAAGAUCUUUUUAUGGACUAACAAUCUCCUCGUAGUCUUUGGCUGUAAGCGUGCGAGUUAAUUGACAUAAAAUUAACUGCAAACACUGAGGUGGUAUGCCACUGGAGUUCGUCGUACGUUCGUAGGUUGGCACUAACUUGACUGAACGUUAAUUAUUCUGCAAAUGGUUCGAACGAUGCGCACAGCAUUGAUAAACUGCAGAACGAAGAUUUCCUGUUUGCGGAAAGGAUUUCUUUCCCCGGAACAACUACGUGACUCAGUACGUUGGUUGUUACGCUAAUUUGCAAUCCUCGUGAAAUAUUCGAGAUUCUCCAUUGUGCGCUGUGUACUCGUUUCGACGGAAAUGAACGUAUUGGCCGUGACGUAGCGGAUCACUUCCGUUCAUCCUAUGGAAAUAUUCCGAAAAAUUUUGCUAAUGCCUAUUUGUCAUUUUGGCCAUAAACUUUUUACACACAGAGCACCAAGUUGUUAAGCUUAAGUCUAUUUACAAAAUUGUAUAAAUGGCAGUAGAUCUUAAGAGCAAUUUUCGUAUUAGGAUAAAAACAAACAAUUUUUAAAUAUCUCUCGUCAAACAUAAUUGUGUAUUCCUGCGAACCUGAUCGCUGUAGAGUAUAAACAAAAAUUUUCCACAACUUGAAAGAGAUCUAUGGAUCCUAACGUUUUUCUAAGUACUUAGCGUCCACUCGAUAAUCAUCCACGAAUUAGUGAGAAACAUUUCGAUCAACACUGAGAUAGCGCGAACAGAGAUAUAUUUGUGUAUUUACUAUGAGAUGAUUAGGUGCUAAUGAGAUAAUGUCACUUUAUCAAAUAUGUACGAAAUCGCGUUGACGAUAGAUUGUAAAAAGGAGGGAAAAAAAAUGUUUUUUUCUUCUAUACCUUCUAGCGAUGAUUUUGAUCGUAUGAGAUGUCACGAGGGCAGAAAUACGAUCGAGCGAAAAGUCAUUAUUCUCGGGCUGGCAUAGAUAAGAGAUUUACCGAAGGUACCAGGAAUGUCAGCGAGCAGAGCAAAUUUAUGAAAAACAUUGUUGACAGGCGUUUUUAAGAAUUUCGUUGUUAAUAUCAGUGAAUUAUGAUCAGAAUAUUAAUUCAAACGAUGAAAUUCUCUUGCGCGUACACAUUUCUUGUAGCUAUUGGAAUUUAAUGGAAAAUUUUGGAAAAAAUAAGAAACAUUGCAAAUUACUACCAUAAGUCAUACGUUACUUAGGACUGGUGGAUGGGGAAAAAAGUAGCUCAUUAAAACACUUGCAAAUAACGUUGAAACUGGUGGGAAAAAAAAAAUUAUGAUCGUCGACAUUGAACCAAAUACUUAUAUGAAUGCAAUACGGCAAGGCGCCCUCGUUCCCUCGAUUCCGUUUCUUGAAGAAAUUACGUAAUCAGUCAAUUUACCACGGAGGCGUCAAAAACAAGUGAUUAUAAAAAAAAAAAGCGAAAAAAAUAUGUCUAACAACGAACUACUUAAUAAAUUGUAGUGAUAACGAUCGCGUUACUAUUAGAUGCGUCUGCAUGUAUUUAAUUAUAUGAGUGUAUGAUACAAAAUCAAUUAUUCCCGUAAAGCGAUUGAGAAAAAUAUUCAGAUUUCAUGAUAUUUUUUAGGAAAUUUUGAAUACUACGCGGCGAACGUGUUUUUUGAUUUAUCGAAAUUCUGAUUUUCCAAGAGAGAAGUCGAUAGCGGAUAACCAUAAAAAAAAAACAUACACAAGCUGUAAACUGCCAGUCGUAAAGAACCAUAGACCGUAUAAGGAUAAGGCCUGUUUGCAUGAAAAGAUCCAUCGGCAAAUAUUCAUCCCGGAUUUAGUAUAAUUUUCUCAUAAGCUUUGUUAAUUCAAUCUCGAUGAGAAUUCGAUCAUGUUAAUAAUUUUUUUAUUCCCUCCAGCUUCCUCAUAGAAACAAUCAAUUGGUUAUGCACCUUCGACAGAUUCAUAAUUUAUCCAACUACCUGAAGAAGACAUAAUUAUAUUGCUGUCGUAAUUUACAUUUUAAGCUGAUACCGAGCUCUGUCGCUCAACUCGUAAACUUUACUGUGAAUCCUUCUUGAUUCAGCAGUGAUAAUAGACUGAAAAUCAGACGGAAUUAUUCAGCAUUAAAAAAAUUCAUAGAAACCUCAAGUAUUGGCUGGAUGCUCAAUUACUGGUGACGCCAGCGUGUCUCUUUUUCGAUGAGUGAAAUAUCUGUUGUCGACAAAGACAUGAAGAAGUGACGAGUACAUCGUGCAAGAUAAUUAAGACGUAAUUAAUUCGUACGAGACAUCAGACUUACAUCAUUCAAUUGAAAAGAUCACGUAGAGUACGGGGAAUCCUUACUAGAUCGUUCCAGUUUGAUCUGGUUGAUCCAAUAUAUUUUCGUCGUGGUUUCACACCGUCACGAGUUAUUAAUCCAAUCUUACCACUUUCGAUCAUUAAAAGUCAGAGCUAAAAAGUGGAAAAACAAAUGGAUAAUAUUCCAUGAAACAAGAAAAUCCGAAGUUGAGUCCACAAGCAUACCUGAAACAUACGAGGCCUUGUGAACCUAUUACGAGAAUAUACAAGAGUAAUUACGUAAUCUCGUGAUUCUUCAGCGAAGCAUCUAGAAACCGUAUGUGUGACGUUUUACAAUCGUAAUGGGAUACCGCUUCUUUGGGCCGCCAUCCCGAAGAACUUCGAACAACUCACGUGGAAGAUAGGGACGCCAAUUGGUAUUUCUUACUCGUUAAAAUACUCAGAACGUUCUGGGUCUUCGAGUAGCAUAUCGGCUAAAAAGGCUUUUAUCUAGUCACGAGCUCAUUGUCUCACCGAUUUCCUUUUCGUGUCGCCAAAUGACAAGAACCUUCGAAACAAUGGACUCGUGCUUGCUACCUGGAAGGAGAAUAAAGGAUAGGUGAAAAAAAAAAAUCUUUCCAGAAAAGAGGGAUAAAUAAAGAGAAGAAAGAAUACCGUAAGGAAAGGUACAGCAACAGUCAUCGCCGGUGUGCUUUGAGAAACAAUGGCGGCUGCCGGUCAAUUAUAUUAAUUAACAUUGAAGGUUGUCACCUAAUAAGUGCAACGAUAGGCGGAAUACACUUCUAAAUAUCCAUUCAAAUUAUCUUCAUUCGUAUCCAAUUGUGCGCCGCCAUAUUAAUCACUUCCUGUACAGGACUAUAGUGUAUACAAAUAUAAAGGCUAAAUAUACAUUUUCAUGAAGCGUCGAUAAAUGGAGUUUCAUAUAUGAAGAUCAAGAGGAUCAUCAAUAAAUGAGUAACAAAGUCAAAAGAAUAUAUUAUACCAAAAUACUUUAUUGAAUAUUGCCCGAUAGUCAAGGGUGUGUGUGUGUGUGUACAGAAUGGAGACCUUUAAAGUGAGACCGGUUUCAAAAUGGCCGCCGGCAUUGAUACUCUCCCGUACAGGAAAUCUCCACGCGCGGCGUCGCCGAUGCAAAUACCAAGGGUACCUCUUGUGGAUAAAACGGAAGGAUCCGAUCGGUAUCUGUGGAACUUUCGCAGGAAUUAGCAAUUUCCGAGGUCCCCGUGAAGCAGCUGGAAGGUCUUGCGUUUGCCUUGCGAUUGGCUAGACUCGUCGAUUUUCCAGUAAACACAGCGUGAACUCGGAAAGUCUUGGCUUCCUUAUCAUUGAUAAGGGCGAAUAUCCAGAUAGGCCACGAUUCUACGACUGGUUUGGCCGAUGACUUUUGCUACGACCGCGAGAUGGCGCGUGAAAACAACAUGACAUAAUGGCAUGUCAUUCUGAAAUUAUGAUGGUGACGACUGAGGAGAGGAUACUCUGUACCAAUCACGAGUAUCAAGUCGUUUGAAAAGUAUUAGCAACGUUUCCAAGAAUGUGAAGGAGGAAAGAAAGAGGUUAGGACGAUCAUAAAGAAGAAUAACAAGAAGAAAUAAAACUGCUGGUCGAUCAGUCGUUAUGAAAUUGAGAUCAUGUUAUGGCGAUACUUGCAAAAAUUAAUCAGUCACACCAGGUAUCCAUUCUCAUGAUAGUUCAAGAGUAACCCAAUACUCUGUGGACAAUGCACGCGAAAGACAAGCAGAAGAUUGUAACGUAAAAGUCAGCCCUGAGGAAAACCCUCUGUAGUAGCUACCUGUCGUCGUAGUUCGUUGAAAAUCGACGUCACUCGUAACCUUAUGUUAAAAUAAUUAUAGAAAAUUGAAAGAUCAAGCUCUUCGACUGCAUCAAAAGUGCAACGUGCAUUUACAUAUAGAUUCUGGAAGAUCUUCC
Molecule: long non-coding RNA, 5105 nt
Organism: Cephus cinctus (wheat stem sawfly)
Lineage: Eukaryota; Metazoa; Arthropoda; Insecta; Hymenoptera; Cephidae
Exons: 11
Source: RefSeq, a predicted model, not a curated record